GAUGAACGCUGGCGGCGUGCCUAAUACAUGCGAGUCGAGCGAACAGAUGAGGAGCUUGCUCCUCUGACGUUAGCGGCGGACGGGUGAGUAACACGUGGAUAACCUACCUAUAAGACUGGGAUAACUUCGGGAAACCGGAGCUAAUACCGGAUAAUAUAUUGAACCGCAUGGUUCAAUAGUGAAAGACGGUUUUGCUGUCACUUAUAGAUGGAUCCGCGCCGCAUUAGCUAGUUGGUAAGGUAACGGCUUACCAAGGCAACGAUGCGUAGCCGACCUGAGAGGGUGAUCGGCCACACUGGAGCUGAGACACGGUCCAGACUCCUACGGGAGGCAGCAGUAGGGAAUCUUCCGCAAUGGGCGAAAGCCUGACGGAGCAACGCCGCGUGAGUGAUGAAGGUCUUCGGAUCGUAAAACUCUGUUAUUAGGGAAGAACAAAUGUGUAAGUAACUAUGCACGUCUUGACGGUACCUAAUCAGAAAGCCACGGCUAACUACGUG
RNAcentral lists this ribosomal RNA (497 nucleotides) under uncultured bacterium. RNAcentral's name for it is "partial 16S ribosomal RNA". It matches the Rfam family "Bacterial small subunit ribosomal RNA", at positions 28 to 507 of the family's 1533-position model. The record is from RNAcentral.